CCGCAUCUGUGCAUGCAGCAUAUCAAUAAGCGGAGGAAAAGAAACUAACAAGGAUUCCCCUAGUAACGGCGAGUGAAGCGGGAAGAGCUCAAAUUUGAAAUCUUAAAGGAUUUCCCUUUACGAAUUGUAGUUUAAAGAAGUGUUUUCUGUUGAGGUUUUGGUAAAAGUUCUUUGGAAUAGGACAUCAUAGAGGGUGAGAAUCCCGUAUUUGACCUUUACUUUCAACUUUGUGAUACACUUUCAAAGAGUCGGAUUGUUUGGGAAUGCAGUCCAAAAUGGGUGGUAAAUUUCAUCUAAAGCUAAAUAUUGGCGAGAGACCGAUAGCGAACAAGUACCGUGAGGGAAAGAUGAAAAGAACUUUGAAAAGAGAGUUAAACAGUACGUGAAAUUGUCAAAAGGGAAGCGUUUGACACCAGUGUUGUUUUUCUGAAAAUCAAUUAAAGAACUGUUUAUGCUAAGCUGUUUAGACUUUAUCAGCUAACUGUUUAGUUUUGAGCUUUUCUUUAAUGCACUUUUCAGUUAACAAGUCAACAUCAAUUUCUUUUGCUGUAAAAAAGCUUGAGGAAGGUGGCUUGAGAUUCGUCUUAAGUGUUUAUAGCCUCUUGCCUAUGCAGUCGGAGAGAUUGAGGUCUGCAGCGUAGAUCCUUCGGGGCUAAAUGCAUUUGUGCUAAGUUAUAGCAUUUCAUAGACAACUUGUUGACUAUGAUUUGUCUUGUAGCUUACUCGCUUAUGUUAUUUUACCUACGCUUAGGAUGUUGACAGCAGUAUAGACUGU
RNAcentral lists this ribosomal RNA (775 nucleotides) under uncultured Neocallimastigales. Its description in RNAcentral is "partial large subunit ribosomal RNA". It matches the Rfam family "Eukaryotic large subunit ribosomal RNA", at positions 25 to 637 of the family's 3401-position model. Lineage: Eukaryota; Fungi; Neocallimastigomycota; Neocallimastigomycetes; Neocallimastigales. The record is from RNAcentral.